UACGGAGGGUGCAAGCGUUGUCCGGAUUUAUUGGGUUUAAAGGGUGCGUAGGCGGCCCGUUAAGUCAGUGGUGAAAGCCUCCAGCUCAACUGGAGAACUGCCAUUGAUACUGGCGGGCUUGAGUACAGACGAGGUUGGCGGAAUUGAUUGUGUAGCGGUGAAAUGCAUAGAUACAAUCAAGAACACCGAUUGCGUAGGCAGCUAACUAGGCUGUAACUGACGCUGAGACACGAAAGCGUGGGGAGCGAACAGG
RNAcentral lists this ribosomal RNA (253 nucleotides) under uncultured bacterium. RNAcentral describes it as "partial 16S ribosomal RNA". It matches the Rfam family "Bacterial small subunit ribosomal RNA", at positions 524 to 776 of the family's 1533-position model. The record is from RNAcentral.